ACAGCGCAAAUUUGCAAGUUAUAUUAUAUUCUGUAAAUUGUAAAUAGAACUUCUGCUGUUUUGACAUGAAUGCAUUGAAUUGUUUUAUAAAAUCCUUAUGAACUAACCUAAAAUGUUUUCAAAUUUGCAUAGCUAGCUUAUUUUAUAAUUUUCAAGAGAUUGAUGUAUUUGUUAGUUUUGAAUGGAUAUAUAUGUGUAUACAUCUUCAGCAGUUUUUAUAUGCUUUCGGACCACAUAAACUACAGAUAUGGCAUACAAGGUUUGCGGACAGUUCAAUAUACUACAAAGUAGUAUGUAACUCUGACUUGUUUUAAUUUUUGUUUAUUUUUAUGAACUUUUUCGUUUUCCCUGCAAAAACUAUGGAAUCUGUAUGUAAACUGCCAAGACCAUCUAAACUGAAUAUAUCCAUCAGAACUGAAUUUGAAUUUGAGUAUUCAAAUUUGUGUGUGGUUAGUUGGGCUAGUAGUUUGACUUAUUGAUUGUUGGUCAGUUGCAAGUAGAGGCACAUGAAAUUGACCUGGAAUGGUUCCAAUGUGAUUCAUAUAUGGAACUGGAUUACUUGUUUAUUAUGUGUUUGUGACCUGGAAUCAACUCUCCAUUAUGGCUAUAUGGGUUUAGGAAGUUUCAUUUAUCAUGGGUGCUGCACAAUUUGACCAGAUCUGACUUUAAGAAAAACCAUUCUGUUCUAGUUCUAUGAAAUAUGGACUUGAUUGAAUUUAAUUUAAAAUUGACUGGAUUUGACAUGAAGUUGAUGAGUAAAUGGGUCCAUGAUGAAUUCAAGGCAAUUUAAUUCUAUACCUGGCCUAGUUGCAUGCACACCUAACCCUGGCAAUAUGUUUUCCAAACUUGGGCUUUGAGUAUCAAGAAAAGUAAAGGUUGGGUGUAAUCAUAUUUUUGAUUUUGUAGUUAGGUCUUAUUAGGAUUUACAGCAUGAACAAGUUAUUGGCAUUUGGGUAAUUUGAAUAGUAAUACCAUCUUUUUAAAUAAAAUACUUUCACAGCAAGUGGGAUACUUUUUAAACCAUUUUGUAAGUGACAACAAAUACAUUUUGUCCUCUCCAAUCUAGUGAAUGACUUAUUAUCUGAGUGUCCAUUAAUCUACUUCCAGGAGUCAUUUAUACUUUUUGACCAUGAUAUGUCAUCACUUGAGAAGCCACACCUUUGGAUGGGAGUUUGAACCUAUGACAAGGUCUAAAGUUUCCGCUGAAACAAAUGGUUGAGAGAAAGGAAAAGGUUGGCCCAGGGGGAACAAUUGAUGCCCAGGUGCAGGGGGUGUUGUUAGCAUAUGUUGGUACAUUUAAAAUGCCGUGCAUCUUACUCCUAUGUGUUAAUUUGCCACAUCAUAUAUUAAUCUGUGUUGUUGGCUCAGGGUGUAGGGCACUAAAGAAAUGCAUGCAAACAAGUUGACUUAUAGCAGAAAUGAGAAUGUUAAGACUGACAGAAUCCAAGGGAUCAUCAGAGUACUUGCUUGGGAAUUUUAGGAUCUUUGUUCAUGAUGUGUUCCCAUGAAGAUGCAUGCAUGUUGGUUUAAGAUAAUGAUACCUUCCCAUAUCAGCGAUAUUGGAGACUUUGGAGUUCGUUAUGCCUUUUUGGGGGAGAUUGAGGUUGUGAACUCUCAUGACCCUCUGAGCUUUGAAUCUCCGUCAACUGCGGGUCAAAGGGAUGCUCGGCUGGAAGAACUUGUCUUACAAGCCUCUCUCUCUCUCUCUCNNNNNNNNNNNNNNNNNNNNCUCUCUCUCUCUCUCUCUCUCUCUCUCUCUCUCUCUAUUGGAGAUGGAAAACCCUAGGCCUUCAAUGCCUCUCUUUGGUAUGGCAUGUGAUGAGAUUUCCACCAAACCCUAGGGAAUCUCCCUUUUUAUGGAGCAAUGGAGGUGCCAAGGCUUUCCCUGGAUGCCUCAACUGGGGUGCCCCUAGAGUCCUCAUAGGACUGCAAAUGAUAGGAUAAGAUAGGGGGUGGCUGACCUUGGGUGCCGCCCCUUUUAAAUGUUGCACUCCUAAGAGGAGUGUGCUAUAUAGAUGUCGCACAGAAGAGCAGAAGGUGAUGGUUUCCUUGCUUCCACUAGAGUUAGACCUGAUCUGUUCUUGCUUGACUUAACCUAGUAGAAACCAAUGUUAGACUAUUUCUCAAGUUUAAUCUUUUCUUCAAUUAGAUCCAGACCUUUCUUGUUCCUUGAAAGAAAUUUUAACUAGAAUCUCAUUUCAAUUGAUCUGGAGAUAGUGGUAUAAAUACUAAAUGUGUUACUAGAAUAGGUCAACUUAGACUCCCGCCCUCUAAUUCCUUUUUAAGCCUGCUUUUUAGUUGCAGUGUCACACAUGGGCAACAUGAUCCAGCAUGGGAAUAUUGUGCCGGUAUCAUAUUAUUGAACCCCAAGAUGAAACCAGUUGGUUUUCCUAUUUCUGCAUAAGCUAUAUCUUGCAUUUAAGUCCCCACUAUUCUGGUGUCUUGAUAUGAUUUUCAAAUAUUGCACUAUUAGAGCACAUGAUCGAACUGAUCAAAUUGUUCAGUACCAUAUUGUUUCGGCUGUGAAUUGGAUGGUUCAUGUCUCAAUACAAAGUGGUAGGAAUCAGUCCUUAUCAAGCUGAACUGCCAAGAACCAAGCUAUUCAUCCUGCUACGGGUCUGGUUGUGGGCCAAUUAACCCCUCUUCCUCAAUAAUUGAGAGAGAAAUGCCAUCAUAUCCUUUUGUUGCUUUGUUCGCCCACAAGCAAUGUAAGAGAGGAAGGAGAGGAGAGGAGAAAGAGAGAGAGAGAGUGGAGGAAAGGUGAAGUCCUGGAUAUACCAGGAUCCCUCUGGUACCAGGAUCAUCAUUCUUUACUAGAUUAUAUCCUCCCAUUCCAGGUUAUGAUCCACAGAUACAUGCCUUCUGAGUUUUCAUGUUUGAGUGGGUAUCAGCAUGCUAUCUAGUUCAAAAGACCUACUAGGAUCUUGGAUGAGUACAAUAUUGAGGCUGGAGUUAGGUCCAGGGCCUGACUAGAACGUGAUCUAGACAUGUUAUGGACACCGGCACAACUUGAAAUUGAACAUAUGCACAUAUGUUGGAUU
Molecule: long non-coding RNA, 3041 nt
Filed under: Elaeis guineensis (African oil palm)
Lineage: Eukaryota; Viridiplantae; Streptophyta; Magnoliopsida; Arecales; Arecaceae
Description: long non-coding RNA (EGUI_LNC014552)
Source: RNAcentral